AGGACAAACGCUGGCGGCGUGCAUAACACAUGCAAGUCGAACGAGGGUAGCGAUACUCGAGUGGCGGACGGGUGAGGAACACGUGGAUAACCGACCUUUUACUGGGGAAUACCCGUGGGAAACCACGGCUAAUACCGCAUACGUUCUGCAAAGAAGAAAGCCUUCGGGCGGUAAGAGACGGGUCUGCGGUCGAUUAGCUAGUUGGUGCGGUAACGGCGUACCAAGGCGACGAUCGAUAGCUGGUCUGAGAGGAUGAUCAGCCACAUUGGGAUUGAGAACGGCCCAAAUCCCUACGGGGAGCAGCAGUGAGGAAUAUUCGGCAAUGGGCGCAAGCCUGACCGAGCGACGCCGCGUGGGGGAUGACGCAUUUCGGUGUGUAAACCCCUUUUCUGGGGACGAGAAUGGACGGUACCCCAGGAAUAAGUCUCGGCUAACUACGUGCCAGCAGCCGC
This 452-nucleotide ribosomal RNA is filed under the name uncultured bacterium. RNAcentral's name for it is "SSU rRNA". It matches the Rfam family "Bacterial small subunit ribosomal RNA", at positions 26 to 518 of the family's 1533-position model. The record is from RNAcentral.